Molecule: long non-coding RNA, 372 nt
Filed under: Cricetulus griseus (Chinese hamster)
Lineage: Eukaryota; Metazoa; Chordata; Mammalia; Rodentia; Cricetidae
Description: lncRNA (ENSCGRG00015029959.1)
Source: RNAcentral
GCUUGUUUCUGCUCUAUCGAGAAUCCUGUGAUGAACCGAGCUCUCGUAGCCCCAGUAAUGUCCAUUCUCCUAGCACAGAAUAAUUUUUCAGUUCUGCUCAGUGUCACCGCUGAUGGAGCAUUUCCUGCUUUUCUUGUGGAUUGUCUCAGUCUUGCCCUUGUAUUUGAGCAACAGGGGCUUCUGCAUCCAGAGCAUCACUUUAGAGGAUUUUGCUCAGAUUUUCACCAUGGGACAAGCAAUUCGAGGUAUUAGACUCACACAGCUUGGAGGAACAUGAUUCGGGUUCAAAAUGACAUGAGAAGGUUGUGGUGAUCCUGAGGGCAGGCUUUCCGUCUCCCGGAUGGGAAAGAAUUUACGUCUUUAGUGGCAAAC